This 73-nucleotide transfer RNA is filed under the name Podarcis lilfordi (Lilford's wall lizard). RNAcentral describes it as "tRNA.Lys". The record is from RNAcentral. Lineage: Eukaryota; Metazoa; Chordata; Lepidosauria; Squamata; Lacertidae.
GUCUGUCUGCCUUAGUCAGUAGAGCAUAAGAUUCUUAAUCUCAGGGUUGUGGGUUUGAGCCCCACAUUGGGCA